UCAUGGCUCAGAUUGAACGCUGGCGGUAUGCUUAACACAUGCAAGUCGAACGGAAACGAUGGAAGCUUGCUUCCAGGCGUCGAGUGGCGGACGGGUGCGUAACGCGUAGGAAUCUACCUAGUAGUGGGGGACAACUCGGAGAAAUCCGAGCUAAUACCGCAUACACCUACGGGGAAAAGGGGGCCUCUUCUUGAAAGCUCUCGCUAUUAGAUGAGCCUGCGUAGGAUUAGCUUGUUGGUGAGGUAAUGGCUCACCAAGGCAACGAUCCUUAGCUGGUCUGAGAGGAUGAUCAGCCACACUGGGACUGAGACACGGCCCAGACUCUACGGGAGGCAGCAGUGGGGAAUAUUGGACAAUGGGCGAAAGCCUGAUCCAGCAAUACCGCGUGUGUGAAGAAGGCUCGAGGGUCGUAAAGCACUUUCAGUAAGGAGGAAAUCUUUUGGGUUACUAACCUAGAAGUUUGACGUUACUUACAGAAGAAGCACCGGCUAACCCUGUGCCAGCAGCCGCGGUAAUACAGGGGGUGCAAGCGUUAAUCGGAAUUACUGGGCGUAAAGCGCGCGUAGGCGGUUUAGUCAGUCAGAUGUGAAAGCCCCGGGCUCAACCUGGGAACUGCAUUUGAUACUGCUAAACUAGAGUGUGGUAGAGGUAAGUGWAAUUCCGGGUGUAGCGGUGAAAUGCGUAGAGAUCCGGAGGCACAU
RNAcentral lists this ribosomal RNA (701 nucleotides) under uncultured Gammaproteobacteria bacterium. RNAcentral describes it as "bacterial SSU rRNA". It matches the Rfam family "Bacterial small subunit ribosomal RNA", at positions 17 to 709 of the family's 1533-position model. The record is from RNAcentral. Lineage: Bacteria; Pseudomonadati; Pseudomonadota; Gammaproteobacteria.